RNAcentral lists this long non-coding RNA (344 nucleotides) under Malus domestica (apple). RNAcentral's name for it is "long non-coding RNA (MDOM_LNC008148)". The record is from RNAcentral. Lineage: Eukaryota; Viridiplantae; Streptophyta; Magnoliopsida; Rosales; Rosaceae.
AAAAAAAAAAAAAAAAAAAAAAAAAAAAAAAAAAAAAAAAAAAGGAAAAGCCCAAAACAAAUGGCUGACAUGUUGUGGAGGGCAAAGGCCCAUAGGCCUGAAAUAGCACCAACCAGGUCAUCAAAAGUACGCCCAGUACUCCGCAAUUAUUCGGCAACCCGCCGUUAUUACCACCAACCAGGUGAUCAAAAGUACACCCAGUACUCCACAAUUAUUCGGCAACUCGCCGCUAUUACCACCAACCAGGUGAUCAAAAGUACGCCCAGUACUUCAAGUCAUACAUGAGCAUUACUCAUGUCAAUCAUACAUAAACAUUCAUGAGCAUCACUCAUCCAAUCAUACAU